RNAcentral lists this ribosomal RNA (1525 nucleotides) under Pseudomonas aeruginosa. RNAcentral's name for it is "16S ribosomal RNA". It matches the Rfam family "Bacterial small subunit ribosomal RNA". Lineage: Bacteria; Pseudomonadati; Pseudomonadota; Gammaproteobacteria; Pseudomonadales; Pseudomonadaceae. The record is from RNAcentral.
UGGAGAGUUUGAUCCUGGCUCAGAUUGAACGCUGGCGGCAGGCCUAACACAUGCAAGUCGAGCGGAUGAAGGGAGCUUGCUCCUGGAUUCCGCGGCGGACGGGUGAAUAAUGCCUAGGAAUCUGCCUGGUAGUGGGGGAUAACGUCCGGCACCGGGCGCUAAUUCCGCAUACGUCCUGAGGGAGAAAGUGGGGGAUCUUCGGACCUCCGCUAUCAGAUGAGCCUAGGUCGGAUUACUAGUUGGUGGGGUAAGGGCCUACCAAGGCGACGAUCCGUAACUGGUCUGAGAGGAUGAUCAGUCACACUGGAACUGAGACACGGUCCAGACUCCUACGGGAGGCAGCAGUGGGGAAUAUUGGACAAUGGGCGAAAGCCUGAUCCAGCCAUGCCGCGUGUGUGAAGAAGGUCUUCGGAUUGUAAAGCACUUUAAGUUGGGAGGAAGGGCAGUAAGUUAAUACCUUGCUGUUUUGACGUUACCAACAGAAUAAGCACCGGCUAACUUCGUGCCAGCAGCCGCGGUAAUACGAAGGGUGCAAGCGUUAAUCGGAAUUACUGGGCGUAAAGCGCGCGUAGGUGGUUCAGCAGUUGGAUGUGAAAUCCCCGGGCUCAACCUGGGAACUGCAUCCAAAACUACUGAGCUAGAGUACGGUAGAGGGUGGUGGAAUUUCCUAGGUAGCGGUGAAAUGCGUAGAUAUAGGAAGGAACACCAGUGGCGAAGGCGACCACCUGGACUGAUACUGACACUGAGGUGCGAAAGCGUGGGGAGCAAACAGGAUUAGAUACCCUGGUAGUCCACGCCGUAAACGAUGUCGACUAGCCGUUGGGAUCCUUGAGAUCUUAGUGGCGCAGCUAACGCGAUAAGUCGACCGCCUGGGGAGUACGGCCGCAAGGUUAAAACUCAAAUGAAUUGACGGGGGCCCGCACAAGCGGUGGAGCAUGUGGUUUAAUUCGAAGCAACGCGAAGAACCUUACCUGGCCUUGACAUGCUGAGAACUUUCCAGAGAUGGAUUGGUGCCUUCGGGAACUCAACACAGGUGCUGCAUGGCUGUCGUCACUCGUGUCGUGAGAUGUUGGGUUAAUCCCGUAACGAGCGCAACCCUUGUCCUUAGUUACCAGCACCUCGGGUGGGCACUCUAAGGAGACUGCCGGUGACAAACCGGAGGAAGGGGGGGAUGACGUCAAGUCAUCAUGGCCCUUACGGCCAGGGCUACACACGUGCUACAAUGGUCGGUACAAAGGGUUGCCAAGCCGCGAGGUGGAGCUAAUCCCAUAAAACCGAUCGUAGUCCGGAUCGCAGUCUGCAACUCGACUGCGUGAAGUCGGAAUCGCUAGUAAUCGUGAAUCAGAAUGUCACGGUGAAUACGUUCCCGGGCCUUGUACACACCGCCCGUCACACCAUGGGAGUGGGUUGCUCCAGAAGUAGCUAGUCUAACCGCAAGGGGGACGGUUACCACGGAGUGAUUCAUGACUGGGGUGAAGUCGUAACAAGGUAGCCGUAGGGGAACCUGCGGCUGGAUCACCUCCUU